Molecule: long non-coding RNA, 1215 nt
Organism: Lagopus muta (rock ptarmigan)
Lineage: Eukaryota; Metazoa; Chordata; Aves; Galliformes; Phasianidae
Exons: 6
Source: RefSeq, a predicted model, not a curated record
CUCACUGGAGCUCCCUGUCUACCUGGACUGUUUUGAAGACAUCAAAAAUGCUUGCGAAGAAGAGGAUACUGUAACAUCAUUGCUCAGUACGUACACAUUUGAGGAAUGUAUCACUUCAUUCUCUGUGCUCAGCAGAAAAGUCUGCUGCUUUACCAGAUGCGACGAAUAACUAAACACAGGGACUGAAGUGCUCUGCUUCCACAGAGGAUGGUGCAGAUUCUUCUGAGCAGGAGGAUCUGUGGCCUGGGAGGUGACCUGGUGAUGCUGGACACUGUGACAGCCAGUGGCAGUGAGAACAUCAGUGAACAAAGGUCCCCUGGUGGCUGCUCCAUCUCAUUCCUAAUUGGUCUUUUGAACGUUUGCAUUUUCUUAAAUCAACUGUGUUCCCAAAUGUGAUGCACUGCACCUCUACAAGGUCCCAGAUGGAGUUGGUAGGGAAGACAACUGACCCAUUUACUGAAGGUGAUGAUUACUGUGAUUUACCAGCAGAAGCUCAAUCAAAUCUCUGGAUGUGGGGUUUUCUUCCAGACUGGACAACGUAGCAGUACUGCUGUUAUUUUAUGAUGUUUUUUUUGUGGGUUUCAGAUUACCAGAUGACUUCUAGUUAGUUUUCCCUUCAGUGGUCAGGUCACCUUACACUCCAGGACAGACACGCUGACUGGUUCUGUUCCUAACUUUCUGUCCAUUUUGCCAGUAUCUCAAUGUGUCAUGUCAGAAGAGCCAUCAUUUUUUCUAUUAUGUAUGCAUGGGAGAUAGCCUUUUCCUUUCACUCUGCUAUGUCUUGAAGGCUGUUGUGUGUUAAAGUAAGAUAAAGUCAUUUGCUGCCAUGCAGUCACACAGAAGAACAAAACACAGUAUUUUCACUUCCAUAAAUCAUGUUUUUGGAUUUAAACUCUGCACAUUCACCAUAUUUCAGAAAAUUUAUAAAAGAUCACUGAGGUUUCCAUCAGCUAUUGGUCUUUAAAGACAAAAGAUUAAUUCCCUUUAAAGAAAUAAAAAUGCUUUUGUGUUUGUUUAAAAAAUAGCAAUUUAAAGGUAAUAGAUUUUAUAAGUUGCUAUGAAGCUUAGGAAAUCAAGAAACCCUUCUCAUACCUAUGAUAACUCUUUUAGGUCUUAAGAUUUUUAUCUGGCUUCUUGAUAUUAACUUUUUUUUACUGCAUCUGAACCAACAUACUUUGUUAAUAACAAGUCCAAUUGCCUUUUCUGGGUGGUACC